CCUACGGGAGGCAGCAGUGAGGAAUAUUGGUCAAUGGGCGCAAGCCUGAACCAGCCAAGUAGCGUGAAGGAAGACUGCCCUAUGGGUUGUAAACUUCUUUUAUACAGGAAUAAAGUGAUGCACGUGUGCCUUUUUUUAUGUACUUUAUGCAUAAGGAUCGGCUAACUCCGUGCCAGCCGCCGCGGUAAUACGGAGGGUCCGAGCGUUAUCCGGAUUUAUUGGGUUUAAAGGGAGCGUAGUUGGGUUGUUACGUCAGUUGUGAAAGUUUGCGGCUCAACCGUAAAAUUGCAGUUGAUACUGGCAGUCUUGAGUACAGUUGAGGUAGGCGGAAUGCGUGGUGUAGCGGUGAAAUGCUUAGAUAUCACGAAGAACUCCGAUUGCGAAGGCAGCUUACUAAACUGCCACUGACAUUGAUGCUCGAAAGUGUGGGUAUCAAACAGGAUUAGAUACCCUGGUAGUC
RNAcentral lists this ribosomal RNA (460 nucleotides) under uncultured bacterium. RNAcentral describes it as "partial 16S ribosomal RNA". It matches the Rfam family "Bacterial small subunit ribosomal RNA", at positions 338 to 795 of the family's 1533-position model. The record is from RNAcentral.